ACCGUUUGGAACGAAUCCAAUAGCUCUGCAUUCAAAUCCACUUGAAUGGCUCAGGUUGGAUAUGUGAAGAUCAAACUAUGAGGAUGAAAGGCAUAAAAAAGAAACCUUAACUUGGUUUCCUCUCAAUCGAAGUGGGAGAGCUGAAUCAAGAAUAAAAGAGAGAGGAGUCAAAAUCAGAGUUAAAGGAGGAAAAAGAGGAGGAGGAGAUUGCAUAACUGCGAUCUCCACUAAAAGGGGAGCUGCUUGCGGUGGCGAUCGGAAGCCGAGGGGAAGAAAAAAAAAGAAAAAGAAUAAUGAAGGAAGGAAGGAAGAAGAAAAUAGGUGGAAGGGGAACGAAAAAUGGGAUCAUCUGCAGUGGCUAUCGCGAGUAAGAGAGAAGAAGGAGAGCACAUCACCACGAUCUCCAUCGGGGAUUCAGGAAGAAGAAAAGGAGAAUCGAAGGAGAGGAGGAAGAAAGAAGGGGGAGUACUCAAGCAGCCAUGGCCGCAAGCAGAGAGGUGGUUAGAGGUACGCGCGAGCCGACGAGAUUUAGGUCACGAGCAGAGGAGGCAUGGGCACUGCGUGCGGGCCUAUUCACUGUGCGAUGGCUUGCAUAGGUGCACAUGGGCAUUCUGUUGCAUCUGUCUAGUGCCAUGCGCGCAUGAUGCCAUGGACUCCAACUCAUCUUUCUUGAUUCUUGAGGACUCUUGAGUUAGAUUUUGUUGGAACUCUUUUAGGUUGCAGUAGGAUUCUUCAAGAGGUCUUCAACCCAUAAAUCUUCCUCUUUGUCAAACUCAUUGGGCUUUUAGGUUACUUUUUGAUGUAGAGUUCUUGUUUCAUUAUUUUAAUAGAUUGUAGAAGAUUUGGAUUCCUCUUUUUUUAGGAAUGGGUUCUCAUUGAUCAAGUCUAUUUCUUUUUGUUGUUGAAUUCCUAAAGAGUAUAGAAGAUGGAUUUCUUUAUGGUCUUAAAGAUCCUUGUUCUUCUCCUCUUCUCUUUCAAAAUGUUUGACUUCAACUAGCAUUGGAAUUUCUUUGUCUAUUUUCUCCUUGAAGGCUUCUUUCUUUUCCUUUUCUUUUUGGAAUCACAACACACAUUCUCCUCCUCCUCAUUGGAUUUAAAAAUCACGAGUCUUAUCCUCCUUUUAUGGUUAAGCCGCUCCUCUCUUGGUAGUGUGAAGGUUUGGCCUCUAGGUGGCAAAAUCGAUUUUGGCCGACCUUUCUUGGCCUCCUUGGGCGGCAGAAAUGCCACACUUGGGUCCUUUAGGACAGGCCUUGAGCUCAAGGCCAUAUUCCCCUCUCGAGUUGGGCUUUGCAAGCCUGUUUUGGGUCGUCUCUCGAUGGGCCGCUCCAUGGGCCUCUACGAUUUGACCUUUAGUUGCUUGGGUAAUUUCCUUGGGCCCUCAUAGACCUUGCCUUGGUUAAGGCUUGCGGGUUGGGCCCUAGGAAAGCCCAACACACUUGGGUUUAAGCCCAUAACUCCUCAACCUUGGGCUUAGGCUUAUAUAGCAUAGGCCAUCCGCGUGGGUACCUGCACGGGCAAGUCCACGGGUUUACGAGUAAGUGACUCGUGGUUUGGUUAUUUCCCCUUGGAUUCCCUCUUGUCUUAUGACUCCUUUUCUGAUUAAGAUUCAUAGCUUUAU
RNAcentral lists this long non-coding RNA (1618 nucleotides) under Carica papaya (papaya). RNAcentral's name for it is "long non-coding RNA (CPAP_LNC012416)". The record is from RNAcentral. Lineage: Eukaryota; Viridiplantae; Streptophyta; Magnoliopsida; Brassicales; Caricaceae.